RNAcentral lists this ribosomal RNA (622 nucleotides) under uncultured bacterium. RNAcentral's name for it is "bacterial SSU rRNA". It matches the Rfam family "Bacterial small subunit ribosomal RNA", at positions 338 to 954 of the family's 1533-position model. The record is from RNAcentral.
CCUACGGGAGGCAGCAGUGGGGAAUUUUGGACAAUGGGCGCAAGCCUGAUCCAGCAAUGCCGCGUGAGUGAAGAAGGCCUUCGGGUUGUAAAGCUCUUUUGUCAGGGAAGAAACGGUGUGGGCUAAUAUCCCGCACUAAUGACGGUACCUGAAGAAUAAGCACCGGCUAACUACGUGCCAGCAGCCGCGGUAAUACGUAGGGUGCAAGCGUUAAUCGGAAUUACUGGGCGUAAAGCGUGCGCAGGCGGUUUUGUAAGUUUGUCGUGAAAUCCCCGGGCUCAACCUGGGAAUGGCGAUGAAGACUGCAAGGCUAGAAUCUGGCAGAGGGGGGUAGAAUUCCACGUGUAGCAGUGAAAUGCGUAGAGAUGUGGAGGAACACCGAUGGCGAAGGCAGCCCCCUGGGUCAAGAUUGACGCUCAUGCACGAAAGCGUGGGGAGCAAACAGGAUUAGAUACCCUGGUAGUCCACGCCCUAAACGAUGUCUACUAGUUGUCGGGUUUUAAUUAACUUGGUAACGCAGCUAACGCGUGAAGUAGACCGCCUGGGGAGUACGGUCGCAGAGUAAACUACAANAGAGUAGACGGCGUGAGACGUGACCGACGGACGACGACGAGGGAGGAGG